GAGAUCCGGUCGAUCUAGCUGCAAUAUCUGUCACUGAUCAUCAGAGUUGAUUUGGCUAAUCUGGUUUGCCAAGUAUGAGCCUCCAAGUACCUCAUCAUCCCAUUAAAGUCUCUCUUGAAGCUGUGCUUUGGGCAAAGGGAAGAGCAUUAGCAAAGACAGAAGGACCAUUCCUUAGUCAAGGCUAAAUCAGCUAAUCAGCUCUACUUUGUUUUUUAAGUGAAACGAAGAUACUUAACUGUGGUUCCCAGUUCUUGGGCUAACAGGUU
RNAcentral lists this small RNA (266 nucleotides) under Loxodonta africana (African savanna elephant). RNAcentral's name for it is "7SK RNA (ENSLAFG00000032985.1)". The stretch from base 1 to 191 matches the Rfam family "7SK RNA". Rfam says of the family: 7SK was discovered as an abundant small nuclear RNA in the mid-70s but a possible function has only recently been suggested. Two independent studies have found that 7SK RNA binds the CDK9/cyclin T complex (known as elongation factor P-TEFb). Lineage: Eukaryota; Metazoa; Chordata; Mammalia; Proboscidea; Elephantidae. The record is from RNAcentral.